GAGCUCGUAGGUGGUUUGUCGCGUUGUUCGUGAAAUCUCACGGCUUAACUGUGAGCGUGCGGGCGAUACGGGCAGACUAGAGUACCGCAGGGGAGACUGGAAUUCCUGGUGUAGCGGUGGAAUGCGCAGAUAUCAGGAGGAACACCGGUGGCGAAGGCGGGUCUCUGGGCAGUAACUGACGCUGAGGAGCGAAAGCGUGGGGAGCGAACAGGAUUAGAUACCCUGGUAGUCCACGCCAUAAACGGUGGGUACUAGGUGUGGGUUUCCUUCCUUGGGAUCCGUGCCGUAGCUAACGCAUUAAGUACCCCGCCUGGGGAGUACGGCCGCAAGGCUAAAACUCAAAGGAAUCGACGGGGGCCCGCACAAGCGGCGGAGCAUGUGGAUUAAUUCGAUGCAACGCGAAGAACCUUACCUGGGUUUGACAUGCACAGGACGCGUCUAGAGAUAGGCGUUCCCUUGCGGCCUGUGUGCAGGUGGUGCAUGGCUGUCGUCAGCUCGUGUCGUGAGAUGUUGGGUUAAGUCCCGCAACGAGCGCAACCCUUGUCUCAUGUUGCCAGCGGGUAAUGCCGGGGACUCGUGAGAGACUGCCGGGGUCAACUCGGAGGAAGGUGGGGAUGACGUCAAGUCAUCAUGCCCCUUAUGUCCAGGGCUUCACACAUGCUACAAUGGCCGGUACAAAGGGCUGCGAUGCCGUAAGGUUAAGCGAAUCCUUUUAAAGCCGGUCUCAGUUCGGAUUGGGGUCUGCAACUCGACCCCAUGAAGUCGGAGUCGCUAGUAAUCGCAGAUCAGCAACGCU
RNAcentral lists this ribosomal RNA (796 nucleotides) under uncultured Mycobacterium sp. RNAcentral's name for it is "bacterial SSU rRNA". It matches the Rfam family "Bacterial small subunit ribosomal RNA", at positions 565 to 1358 of the family's 1533-position model. The record is from RNAcentral. Lineage: Bacteria; Bacillati; Actinomycetota; Actinomycetes; Mycobacteriales; Mycobacteriaceae.